CGGAACAUGGUGGCAGCCUUAAUUAACACAUUGUUCGGGUGAAUAUCUAACAAAGAAGGUAAAUUCCCGAGAACUCUUUUCACAUGGUUUUUGUCACUUGGCGAGAGAUUUUCCCACCAAUCGAGCAACAAAGGUGGGAUACUUUGAACCAUGCUGAACCUGGGGACUUCGCCUCAUUUCUGCAAAACAAAUAAAGUUAGCCCUUUUCCCCUACAGAUUCGACUAUUUACACAUUAUUUAUUAGCAUAUCGGCACGUUUUCUCCAAAUAAUGCACAUAUCAUUAUUGUACCCAUUGGGAUUUAAGGAAAUCCCGGCGGGCUUUGGACAAGGCUUGCCUUAGAGAGUUAUUACGCGGACAGUGUUCUAACCCAUACUAUAUUUAGACAUGAUGCAUACACAGUUAAUAUUAGAGUGGGGUUUCUAGAAGAAUCUAGACCGGUACCCUCAAGUGGACAACUUGAGAGGGGAAGGCAUGGAACCAUCGAUUGCACCGUUGAUCGACUAGUUUUACCGCAAAUUAUCCUUUCCAAAUUUAAAAAGGUGAUUUAGGAAGAGCGCGAACACUCAUCAAGCGCCGCUAUGAUAUUAAUUACGCACGAGUGGAAUAUGAUGUGGAGCAUUCUUUAUGUAAAGAUAAAAUAACACGUUGUCAAGUAUGUUGCAUGAUGAAGACAAUAAACACAGCAUUAAAUGGAGCGUAAAGACAUAAAAAGAAAGGAAAACAAGGAAGAAGUUAGUUCGCGCAAUGUGAAAGAAUUGCAAUAAAGCAAGCAAGGGGGUAGGGGUAGGGAGAGACAUGAUGUAGCAAAUUUAAAAAUGAUUCGGAGCAAGUGAACAUGACUAGAAAAUAAAGGAAAACGCACAUUGUAACAAAAUUAAGCAAAGAUUUGCAUAUUAAUACAAAUUAAAAAUAGAGGGAAAUAGGGGAAAGGGUGUGCAUGUAGCCAUAAAAAGGGAAAAUGGAAGCGGGAUGUUCAUGUAACGAUAAAGAACAAGGAAACACAUUCAUCAAAGAAAACUAAUUCAUAUAGACCAAGUUCGCUAUGGUAAGAGCCUAAAACAAAUCCCUAGCAGAGUUGCCAUGCUGUCGCGCCCCUCUUUCUCGCAAAAUCGGGUUUCGACACGUGACAACUCUUUUAAGGAAGGUGUUAAAAGAGAGAGUCGCCACCUAAUGGGUUUGAGGUGCAUUAGGGCACCUAUUUUCAAAUAACUCUCGUUUAACCAGUUUGCGUCACCAAAGAUCAGGUAAGGGCUCAAAUUACCUCGAAGAGAAGGUGUUAGGCAUUCUUCGAGGUCCACAACUGUGGGUCCCGGCCGAACUUGAAUUAUAUGAAUUAUUCAAAUAGUCAAAGAGAAAAACAAGAAGUUUGAAAAAAUCAUUAUUAGAAAGUCCUUGAGUAAACACAGAUAAUUGGUUUAAAGACAAGAUGGGGGUCCUAAGUUUUUUAGCCUAAAGGAUCACCCCGUGCAACAUAAAUAAUACUUCGUAACUCUCUCGAGGUGGGGUGUUACUCGUAUUAUUCAGCGGUCACAUACUAUCAUCUCCAGCUACCCGAUUACUAUCUUUAAGUUUUUACCUAAAGCGCACUAGUUGAUUCUAAACUGUUCCCUAUGAGUGCACUACCCGUCCUAUGCCUAUGGCCCAGGAGGCGUUUGGACCUCUAUUUUGGAUGGUUUCUAGACUUAGCUUAGGCUGCUCAGAAAUGAUAAAACUAGGCGACAUACAAAACAAGUUGGACUUCAUGUAAAAGCAAUUAAGGGCUCGAGUUAGCCUCCACACUUAGACAACAAAUGUACGCGAACAAAUUUUCACAUUAAACGUUAGACAAUUUCAGGAUUUAGGCAAAUUAAAGCCAUUAGGCCCUAUAGACAUGGUUUCUAUGUGACCUUGGAAUUCAAACAUACAGGAAGUUUCAGAUGUAAGGUGCCAUUUUAGAUACAGCUUCUAAGCGACUACACAAUUGCCCGUUGAUUACAGAUUAUAAGCGAUUAAACCUAUAGACAUGCUAUCUAGGCGAUUUACGCAGUAGUUAGCAGUGAUAACCGUGGAAGAUAUUCAGAACUACUCAGUUUGAUCCUAUAAGCAUGAUUUAUAAUAGAAACAGUGUUGAAAGUUCAAUAUUAACACUUAAAAGUGAGUGGAAUUACCCUAUAGGCAGGAUUUCUACAAUUAGCGAUUGAAACUAGCUUUAACUCCUAUAGGCAUGUCUCCUAAGUGAGCAAUUAUAACAACAAUACAUUAACCAAUUAAAACCCUAUAGGCAUGAUUUCUAAAAUGCAGAUUUGCAGAACAUAAGCUAACAUAACCCUAGGUUCAUAGUAUCUAAUGAAUAUGCCGUAAUGCAAAUUCAAACAUUGCUCACUUUAUUUCCUAUAGACAUGAUAUCUAACAAACAUGUAGAAGCAAAAUAUGUUAAAUGAAUUAAACACUCAAGUCAUAUAUGCAGGUUAUCUAACACACAUAGUAUCAAAAAAUGUUCGAGCAAAUUAAAUACCUAUAGGCAGUAUUUCUACCCGUUCAUGCAAAUAUUAGAAUAAACUCAUUUCCCAAUUUUAUUAACACCCCAAUUAUUAUUACAAUAUUAUUACAGACCCAAUGAGUGAAAUAAAUUACAGGGUUACAAAAUAACUAUAGUGGGCCUAAGAUAGGCCAAAGUAUACCCAGCCCAGCCAGGCCUUCAAUUACAUAUCCAACAGGCUUCACCACAACCCAGAAGUCAUAGCCAAUCAAACCCAGAAAAACAAUUUUCAUUUACACAAAAUAGAUAAAACCCAGUAGCCAGAGCUGAUCAACAGCCGUUUACACAAAUCAAUUGGUUUAUUCAGUAGGUAAAAAAAAGGAGGGGCAGAGUUGAACAAUUAGGACAAAGUGGCCCAAAGAACCUUAGACCCUAGUGUGUCAGAGUUCACAAGGGUCUCAAAAUGGACCCUGAGCAGUGCUCACACUAGGGAGGUUGAUAGAGAAGAUUUAGGGAAGGGGGGUCUUGGCUUUCAUCCGGCCUAGAAUUAGACUCAUAACAAGAAACAAUCAAUGAAAAAUAGUAAUAGGUUUGGAAAAGCAUUUGCAAACACUAUAAGAUAAUCACAUAGUGAACUCAAGAAGUAAACUAACACAUUGGGCAGGGUGUCAUAUGAUAAGAAACAAAGAGCCUGGGAUUGCAAAGUCAACAGACAAUGGCAUUAGACUAGUAAAACCCAGUAAUGCAACCAGUGUAGAACUUAAAGGAUCGGAUUAUACCAAACUCAGGAUUACACAAUAUAAUACAAACAGGAUUAGAUAUCAUGGAGGGUAUCAGUCAAGGAGGAUUAGUUUAAAGGAUAACAUUUUGUUAGAGGUGUAGAAUUGGACAUAGCAAGAACACAUAGAGUGGCAACCAUAGUCAUAGGAGCAUACUACACUUAGAGUAAAGGUUUUAAACAAGUUAAUGCAUGCUAAUAACAUCAAUUAAUCACUAGAAGUUCAGAUUUAGGCAGAGAACAUGGAUUAAACCAUAUAAUCAAGGCAGAACAUUCGAAUUAUCAAUAACACCAAACUAAACAUGCUUCAUUCUGUCUAAAUUAACUAAGUUAGGUACAAAGACAUUAUUAGGCUAGCAAUUAUAGGCAGAAUCACACAUAAAGAGAGUCAAGGGAAUACAUUAAGUCAUGCAGUUUCAAAGAACAUGCUAUCAUAAGAGAAUAAAUAUUGCGAGGGUUUAGAAACUAACCAAUGAUUGUUCACUAAACAAGAAAAGAACAACAGUAAGGACCUAGAGUCUCAAAUAUGUCAAGUUCCCAAAGGUUUCAAGAACCCAGUGCAGUGCUCACACCCAAGAGAUGGUCAGAAAAGUAGAAAUCUGGUGGCCUUGGCUUUCAGCCGGCCAAGAGCCAAACAGAACAGAAUAGUAAACAAAUACAGAGUAGAAACCUCAAUUUUUAGUGAGAGAAUAGUGAUUCCAGUCCUGUCCAAAAAGGGGAAGGGGGAUGGGUUUUUAUAGUAGCAUAAUUAAACACACAAACAAGGAAAAACAAUCAAUCAAUCUUAAAGAAAAAGGAAAGAAUAGCAUGCGGAACUGAUUCAGAAUCAAUUUAGGAGAAGUCAAGCAAACCCUAGUUUUUAGAAAAACAAAUAUUAUCAGAAUAUACACAAAAAUAAUAACAUAGGAUGAAUAUAGACACAAAUAACACUAAAAAUCAGAGAAUCGAACCAAUUUUGGUCCGAUUUAAGGAAAUCUGAAAACCCUAGUUUUAGGGUAAGUAAGAAUCAACAGAAUAUAAACAAAUAUUUGGACUCACAGUAGCAUAGGAUGAACAUAGACGGAAUAACAUUCAAAAUUCAGGGAUUUGAACUGAUUUUGGUUCGAUUUUGAUGAGAUCUGCUUGCCAUAUUUAGGCAAGCACUAUAGGAGAGUAGCCAGUACCAGAAGGGGGUCGAGUAUGGUAAGUAAUAGCCAUGGAAUCCCAUAUUAGGUGGGUUUAUGAGAAGAUUUAGGGGGCGGCGGCUAGGGUUCUUGAGAGAGGGAGAAGGGGUUGAGAGGAUAUCAUGGUGGCAUAUGAGGGGAGAGUGAGG
This 4550-nucleotide long non-coding RNA is filed under the name Nicotiana tabacum (common tobacco). Its description in RNAcentral is "long non-coding RNA (NTAB_LNC013793)". Lineage: Eukaryota; Viridiplantae; Streptophyta; Magnoliopsida; Solanales; Solanaceae. The record is from RNAcentral.